GGCCACGUAGCUCAGGUGGAUAGAGCAACUGCCUCCUAAGCAGUAGGUCGUCGGUUCGAGUCCGACCGUGGCCUCCA
Molecule: transfer RNA, 77 nt
Filed under: Actinomycetota bacterium
Lineage: Bacteria; Bacillati; Actinomycetota
Description: tRNA-Arg
Rfam family: tRNA
About the family: Transfer RNA (tRNA) molecules are approximately 80 nucleotides in length. Their secondary structure includes four short double-helical elements and three loops (D, anti-codon, and T loops).
Source: RNAcentral